CCUACGGGAGGCAGCAGUGGGGGAUAUUGCACAAUGGGGGAAACCCUGAUGCAGCGACGCCGCGUGUGUGAAGAAGGUUCUCGGUAUGGAAAGCUCUAGCACCAAGGAACAAGGAAGACGGUACCUGACGAAGAAGCUCCGGCUAACUACGUGCCAGCAGCCGCGGUAAUACGUAGGGAGCAAGCGUUGUCCGGAUAUACUGGGUGUAAAGGGAGCGUAGGCGGGUGUGCAAGGCUGAUGUGAAAUCCCAGGGGUCAACCCGGUGACUGCAUUGGAAACUGUGGAGCUUGAGUGCUGGAGAGGCAAGCGGAAUUCCUAGUGUAGCGGUGAAAUGCGUAGAUAUUAGGAGGAACACCAGUGGCGAAGGCGGCCUACUGGACAGUAACUGACGUUGAGGCUCGAAAGCGUGGGGAGCAAACAGGAUUAGAUACCCGGGUAGUC
This 441-nucleotide ribosomal RNA is filed under the name uncultured bacterium. RNAcentral's name for it is "partial 16S ribosomal RNA". It matches the Rfam family "Bacterial small subunit ribosomal RNA", at positions 338 to 795 of the family's 1533-position model. The record is from RNAcentral.